GAAAUACUCUGUGGUUCAGGAGGAGGGGAAUUUCCUGCCGGCUCUUGCAUUCCUCAAAGACCCCAAGGCAUCUCCCCAAGAUGACCACAGUUGUCCCUGAAGAAGCAGUCACAGCAAGCUCACUUCACAGGAACCAAGCUGUGGGCUGAUCCUACAGACUUGAAAAGACAACUCAAAAAGAUUGUCUGUGGGGUCAGAAACAGCUCUGGAGGGGUCUGCAGAAAUUACUUUCCCAAGUCUUUGGGCUGGAAGGAACGAACAGUGCCUGACCAAGGACUUUGAGCAGGAGAGAGAUGGGAGCAGAGAGGAGCCAAGGUCUACUAUUUUCACUUCUGUCAAUUAGAUCAAAGCCCUGCCCAGAAGCUUUGAGCGCCGCUGUCAAGUCCCAUUCCUCCCCUAAACCAUCCAGGUUCCAUCUGCCUUGAAGCCAAAGGAUCUUCUUAGAUUCCUCAAGAAAAAUUCAGGCCCCGAGUUUCUCCACCAGCACUCUCCUCUCCCCGAAGGAGUGGGUGGGCUGCAUUUCUCUUCAUAUUCUAUUCCAUUCCAGACCGUCUUGGACUACCAGCCUGUCCGCCACCCCUCGGGGCCCUCCCUCCUACUCUGCCCUUGCCCGCUGAGGUCCCAAGCUGAGGAGAUGAGCCGAGCAGUAAAAAGAGAGGAGGUUUGGAAAAGCAAUGUCCUCUCAGUCUUUAAUAGGUGGCCCCCCUGGGAACCUGCUGGAAGUGGAAGUUAAUAAGCUGAAGGUGGUCACAACCAAUCUCUGCCACACUCGCACCCUACCCCACCCCAAAUCAUUCCUUUUAAUUAAUAGUGGAAGACCUUUUUAAAAAUGUAACAUGAAUUGGCUAUUUCUUGAGGCAAACAAAAGGUGGCUCUGAAGCGAUAUAUUUGUACUCGUAUAAAUUCAUUAAAAU
RNAcentral lists this long non-coding RNA (914 nucleotides) under Homo sapiens (human). Its description in RNAcentral is "HSALNT0333875". The record is from RNAcentral. Lineage: Eukaryota; Metazoa; Chordata; Mammalia; Primates; Hominidae.